CAGGCAAAUGAACAAAUUCAGAAAGCAGGAGGCUUCAAAGCCUCCAGUAUCAUAAUUGCUCUGACAGAUGGUAAGUUGGACGGUCUGGUGCCAUCAUAUGCAGAGAAAGAGGCAAAGAUAUCCAGGUCAUUUGGGGCUAGAGUUUAUUGUGUUGGUGUCCUUGACUUUGAACAAGCUCAGCUGGAAAGAAUUGCUGAUUCCAAGGAUCAAGUUUUCCCUGUCAAAGGUGGAUUUCAAGCUCUUAAAGGGAUAAUUAAUUCUAUACUAGAUCGGUCAUGCACUGAAAUCCUGGAAUUACGGCCUUCAAGUGUCUGUGUGGGGGGUAAGUGGUU
RNAcentral lists this long non-coding RNA (332 nucleotides) under Ursus americanus (American black bear). RNAcentral's name for it is "lncRNA (ENSUAMG00000002848.1)". Lineage: Eukaryota; Metazoa; Chordata; Mammalia; Carnivora; Ursidae. The record is from RNAcentral.